This 235-nucleotide ribosomal RNA is filed under the name uncultured bacterium. Its description in RNAcentral is "partial 16S ribosomal RNA". It matches the Rfam family "Bacterial small subunit ribosomal RNA", at positions 99 to 334 of the family's 1533-position model. The record is from RNAcentral.
CGGACGGGUGAGUAACGCGUGGGUAACCUGCCUUGUACAGGGGGAUAACAGUUGGAAACGGCUGCUAAUACCGCAUAAGCGCACAGCAUCGCAUGAUGCAGUGUGAAAAACUCCGGUGGUAUAAGAUGGACCCGCGUUGGAUUAGCUAGUUGGUGAGGUAACGGCCCACCAAGGCAACGAUCCAUAGCCGACCUGAGAGGGUGACCGGCCACAUUGGGACUGAGACACGGCCCAA